GACGAACGCUGGCGGCGUGCCUAACACAUGCAAGUCGAACGGGGUGAUUCCUUCGGGGAUCACUUAGUGGCGGACGGGUGAGUAACGCGUAGGCAACCUGCCCUUUGCAGAGGGAUAGCCAUUGGAAACGAUGAUUAAAACCUCAUAAUGCCAGACUGAGACAUCUCUAACUGGCCAAAGAUUUAUCGGCAAAGGAUGGGCCUGCGUCUGAUUAGCUAGAUGGCGGGGUAACGGCCCACCAUGGCGACGAUCAGUAGCCGGUCUGAGAGGAUGAACGGCCACAUUGGGACUGAGAUACGGCCCAGACUCCUACGGGAGGCAGCAGUGGGGAAUAUUGGGCAAUGGGGGAAACCCUGACCCAGCAACGCCGCGUGAAGGAAGAAGGCCUUCGGGUUGUAAACUUCUUUUAGUAGGGACGAAUACGUGACGGUACCUACAGAAAAAGCAACGGCUAACUACGUG
This 462-nucleotide ribosomal RNA is filed under the name uncultured bacterium. RNAcentral describes it as "bacterial SSU rRNA". It matches the Rfam family "Bacterial small subunit ribosomal RNA", at positions 28 to 507 of the family's 1533-position model. The record is from RNAcentral.